RNAcentral lists this microRNA precursor (78 nucleotides) under Schistosoma margrebowiei. RNAcentral describes it as "mir-3492 microRNA precursor family". It matches the Rfam family "mir-3492 microRNA precursor family". Lineage: Eukaryota; Metazoa; Platyhelminthes; Trematoda; Strigeidida; Schistosomatidae. The record is from Rfam by way of RNAcentral.
AGCCUUCAGAAUCCGUGCUGAGAUUUCGUCAGACACCAGUUAAUUAGGGCUGAUCAGACUUCCAAGAUACAUGAAGUG